GGACAGUGUCUGGUGGGUAGUUUGACUGGGGCGGUCUCCUCCUAAAGAGUAACGGAGGAGCACGAAGGUUGGCUAAUCCUGGUCGGACAUCAGGAGGUUAGUGCAAUGGCAUAAGCCAGCUUGACUGCGAGCGUGACGGCGCGAGCAGGUGCGAAAGCAGGUCAUAGUGAUCCGGUGGUUCUGAAUGGAAGGGCCAUCGCUCAACGGAUAAAAGGUACUCCGGGGAUAACAGGCUGAUACCGCCCAAGAGUUCAUAUCGACGGCGGUGUUUGGCACCUCGAUGUCGGCUCAUCACAUCCUGGGGCUGAAGUAGGUCCCAAGGGUAUGGCUGUUCGCCAUUUAAAGUGGUACGCGAGCUGGGUUUAGAACGUCGUGAGACAGUUCGGUCCCUAUCUGCCGUGGGCGCUGGAGAACUGAGGGGGGCUGCUCCUAGUACGAGAGGACCGGAGUGGACGCAUCACUGGUGUUCGGGUUGUCAUGCCAAUGGCACUGCCCGGUAGCUAAAUGCGGAAGAGAUAAGUGCUGAAAGCAUCUAAGCACGAAACUUGCCCCGAGAUGAGUUCUCCCUGAGACUUAGAGUCUCCUGAAGGAACGUUGAAGACGACGACGUUGAUAGGCCGGGUGUGUAAGCGCAGCGAUGCGUUGAGCUAACCGGUACUAAUGAACCGUGAGGCUUAACCUU
Molecule: ribosomal RNA, 682 nt
Filed under: Escherichia coli
Lineage: Bacteria; Pseudomonadati; Pseudomonadota; Gammaproteobacteria; Enterobacterales; Enterobacteriaceae
Also listed under: 1 other name
Description: partial 23S ribosomal RNA
Rfam family: Bacterial large subunit ribosomal RNA
Source: RNAcentral